GAUCCGGCUCAGGAUGAACGCUAGCGACAGGCUUAACACAUGCAAGUCGAGGGGCAUCAUGAGGUAGCAAUACCUUGAUGGCGACCGGCGCACGGGUGAGUAACGCGUAUGCAACCUGCCCGAUACCGGGGUAUAGCCCAUGGAAACGUGGAUUAACACCCCAUAGUACUUUUAUCCUGCAUGGGAUGUGAGUUAAAUGUUCAAGGUAUCGGAUGGGCAUGCGUCCUAUUAGUUAG
This 236-nucleotide ribosomal RNA is filed under the name uncultured bacterium. RNAcentral's name for it is "partial 16S ribosomal RNA". It matches the Rfam family "Bacterial small subunit ribosomal RNA", at positions 15 to 248 of the family's 1533-position model. The record is from RNAcentral.